ACAAAUCAAAAUUGAGAUAGAAAUAAGAUUAUUUAGAAGUUUGAGUUAAUCCAGUCUACAGAUCCUCUUGCAGACAUGAGUUGACUUGUAUCUAGAUUAUCACUAGAACAUAAUCAUUUCAAAUUACAGGCUACAUGCUACCUAUAGAAAUUAUCAAGGCACACAAUUAUCAGCAAUAUUCUUUCAGAACAAUGAAUAUAGCUUACUCAAUAGAAACCAAUCUCAUGGCCAUCUCCUUUAUCCCAGUUGCUUGAUGUUUGGCAACUCCAUUUCCAGCUUGCAAGUUCAAGAAUAUCUCUGCAUUUUGGCUGGAUAUGAUGCAUGCUUUGGAAGCAUUCUCUGCAUAUUAUGCAGGGAUGAGAAAAUGUAUUAAUAUUCGUGGUAAGCGAUAUCACAGAAAAGAAUUUCACGACACUUGUAUCAAUAAUCGUAAACUACAGAAACUACAAGCCUGUUUAUCUCAAGAAGGCAGUACAUUAUAACAUGUCAAUAUUAUCUCUUAAAGGACAGUUUCAAGCAUAUUGGCAAUAUAUCCCAUAUGAAUACAGUCUAAGCUUAGCAAGUGUAAAAGGUAAAAUACCAUAAUCACACAAAAAAAAAAUAUGGAAAAUGCAGCUGGAAAAUUGUCUGCCAGCAGAUGGCGCAAGAUUGCUGUUUGCCCUGCAUCCCAAUAAAAUUGCAUCAGCAAUGAGAGACUCUUGAGGCACAUAGACAGUGAUAACAGGUUGAAUUCGAAAGAUGAAUACAGAAUUUCUGAGACCAAGAGGCCCUCAAUAUGAUACCUGGCUCAUCCUAUAAAAGGGCAGAAAGUAUCAAAUCGGCUUUGGCCACCAUUUGCCAGCCUAAGAGUGAGUUUGUUUGGUACAAUAUGUUUAGCUCUAGCACAAAAGUAAUGCAGAAUUCGUCAGUGUCACAAAGAUACUACUUAUUUAUCACAAACAAGCCACAAAUUGGUAAUUCUUUAUAAUCUUGGUAACAAAAUGAUUUUGUUAAGUUUAUCAAGUACUUCUGGAAUCAAAAUAAGCCUAUUUUGUUCUAGUAUGAAAAAACCACCUAAAGGUGGAAACAUAAAUUGUAUUACAAUGUACAUGAAAUCAGUUUCUAUUCACCUAAAACAGAAUUGGACUACAAAUGAAUAAUGGUUUGCAAAAUCCUGUGAAGUUGGUCAGUUUAGAUUUAUGUCAAGACCUCGAGUUGAAAUUACCUACGCCUCAUAGCUGAGUAUCUUUACUAGAGAAAGGGUAGCCUUCUCCCAAUUCAACCCUUAGCAUGCAGAUAGACACGAGUCCAAUUAAUGUACCAAAUCUCACUAUAAUUUAGUAUUGAUGCAAGUCAUUGAUUAUGUCAAAUUCAAGCUAUUUUUUUAUAAGAACUUUUAUCAUAAAUUUUGCUUUAAAAAUUGGACUCUUAUUUUGGACGACUGGAGUACCAUAAUAUAUAAGCAACUUGUACUAGACAGAACUAGAAGUGCUAUUUCCUUGUAAAAGUAUCGUCUACUAGAAAAAAUGAAUUUUCAACCAAGAUGUGGUUGCUACGCUGAAGCGAAAAUGAUAAAAGAGAAAAAGUGUCAUUUUAAAGCGAUACUUAAAUUAAUAUAGACAUUUUAGCUCCAUUCAUUUCACUGGUUUUGUAAAAAUGACAAACAAUAUGAUCCUCAAGAAAAGGCAUAACACUCAAUUUGGGGGGUAUUACUAUUACCUACACACUUUUAGGAGUUGAAAGAAUGAAAUGCUGAUCUCUUGUUAAUGUAUAUAUUUAUAUUCUCUAGUCUUGUUCCCUCUACCAAUAAAAUCUUAUUGUCCUCUCUAAAUACUAAUCAUGUAUUUCCUGAUGUAUCAGAAAUGCAUAAUAAAGAAUGGAACCAUAGCAAUAAAUUAAGUUAUUAAAAUAAUUAACAUAAGCAAAUUUGAACACAAUAAAUGAGAUUCCUAACAAAGUCACAAAAAUAUCAUUCACAUUAAUUCAUGUAUGCAAAUAUCGUCACAUUAAGAAAGUUUUUAAUGGAAAAGGGAAGGAAAAUAUAAGUAGAAGCAAAAUUAAAUCUGGAAAUGUAAAUAAGCACACCUAAAAAUUAACAAGCCUUUUAUCCGAGAGUCAUUAUGGUGGUACCUAAAUAGUAUAAUCAAUGCGAGAGCAAGGUAGUAUUGUGUUGAUUGGGUUAGAUAUCAAAUUAAUUGUGCAAGUCCAUAAAAAUGUCCGAGUGCACUUGCCAAGUUUCAAAAUCAGUACUCGAAUUUUGGGACUGGUGAGAUUUUUUGAAACUAAUAAUAGAGAGAUAAAAGCGCAAGUCAACAGAAAAAAACAAAAUCAAAUUAAUUUAUCCACCUGUUCUAUCAUCUAUGUCUUCUGAAUCCCAAGUGUUUUCCUCAGAAUUUGCUUGUAGAUCUAGUUAAAGUCUCCUUUAAUGGUGUCGAUGAGAAUAGCUCUCUCCUGAAUUCUGUUUGAAGAAACUUCUCUAUAUGUAUGUAUGUAUAUAAGGGUGAUUUUUUCUGUUCUUCCUUUUCAGCAAACACGGGAUCAAAAGCAAGACUAGAAGCCUAAAGGUACCAAUGCAUAGAAUGAAAGUUAUUUUUACAUAAUGAAUAUGUUUUUUUUAUUACUUAUCAAUAAUAUAUAUUCUACUCUUAUUUUCAUUUAUUUAUUUUAUUCUUUUAUCAAUAUUACUUGGGGAAUCACCGUAUAACUAUGACCAAACACAUAACUCAACGAAAAAUUAAAGUAAAAAACAUAAAAUUUACAUGGAAAAACCAUGGGCGAGAGGAAGAUACUAUAUCAAAGUGUGAAGAAUACAAUCUUUGAAGAGAACUUUCACACCUCUAAAGGAGGCUACAAAUCUGAGAAAGAAAAGAACACAAAAACCCUAACUAGAAUAACAUAUAUAUAGUUGGGCCAAAAUAACUUAAUAGGUACAUAC
Molecule: long non-coding RNA, 2914 nt
Filed under: Panax ginseng (ginseng)
Lineage: Eukaryota; Viridiplantae; Streptophyta; Magnoliopsida; Apiales; Araliaceae
Description: long non-coding RNA (PGIN_LNC009981)
Source: RNAcentral